AAUUAAUUAGCGAAACGGCGGUUUUAAGAUUAGACAAAAAAACUGAUCAAAGAUUAUCGUUUAUCACUAUUUUAUGCCAUUUAGCUGGUUAAUAGGCUGAACACUGAUAAACAACUCAAACCAUAAUUAUUUUUCCUUAUUGAAUGCUAAUUCCUAUUCUUCUCUUCCCUUUCACUUUUAGCUGACGAAUUGCUUGGAAUGACCAUUUAAAGUAUACCUUGAAAAAUUGCGAUUAAAAGAUGACAAUGAUUAAAGGUUGAUAUAAAGAUGGGAAGAGGCUUAUUCGGUACAACACUGGCUGUUCAGGUACAAUUACUUACAACAAUCGGAAUAAGCCGAUAAAUAUGAUUAAAUUAUUUACCAUAAAGAUUAAAAGGAAUGACAAGAGGACGAAGAAAAUAUUUGACUUUAAACAACUUAAAGGAGAUUGGUAGAGUGUCGGAAAGGAAGGCAACUUUACCUGUUGAUCCUUUUAAGAAAUGGCCUGAGGCUGGAUUUUUUGGUUAAACUGAAUUGCGAAAGAAGUUGAACGCAAAAAAAAGGAAGAAAUUGAAAGAUGGAAAAAUGAAAACGAUGCUUUUAGAGAGGAGCUAAAGAGGUAAAUGGUCUUUUACCCGAAACAUGGUUAUCACCCUUGCAAGACCAAGACUGGCCUCAGAUGGAAAGUGAAUGAACAGUCCCAAGUGAAUAUAUUAUAUGGUCAACAAGAAUUCUGGUUUGCUGAUGACUUUCAUCAAAAGUAUUACCAGAUUAUUAUGGAAAGUAAACCCAAAACACUAAAACCAGUUGUAAGCAACACUUAAAUGAAUCUAUUUUGUCUCUCAUUUUCAUGAAGAAGAUACUGAUGAUGCUGAUGAUAAUAACGAUUAAUCAGUAAACUCAUGGAAAAAUGCUGGAGAAAAAAAUUCCAUGGUUUCUCUUUCAUCUUGUUUGCAAGUAUUUUAAUGCAAAGGGAAAAAUAUAAAGACCAUUGGAUGGAAAGGAACAUAUUGUGAUUAAAUUUAUGUUGGGAUUUCCCAGGUUUAUCAAGCUUGAUUAACAUCAUCAACAUCGUCAUUUUAAAACAUCUUCAUGGAUAGUUCUUGGAGAGAUGCUGAAAUGGAAGGUGCAAAACUGUUUAAAUCAAUGGAAGGAAAAAUUAAUGAAAAAAAGGAACAAAAAUAUUUCUUUUUUUCUUGGAAAGCCUCAAAGUACAAUAUGAACUUGAAAAGAUUGGUGCAAAUGGAGACAAUAAUAAUUGGCAUUUUCUCAUCACAAUCAAUUGAAGGAAGAAAUUUGAUUAAAAUAAUUGUUAAAUUUCCUCCUUGAACUUGUCAGAUAAACUUAAAUUUGGAAAAGGCUGACAAUUCUGAAAAUAUAUAUUUUCUCUCUCUUUCCUUUGCCAACCUGCUUUAAACAAUGUUACUGUUGUCAAAAUAUAAUUGGUGUUGAUGAUGAUAAUAAUAAUGAUAGCAAUAAGCAUAAUGACUAUGACAAUGGUAAUGAUAAGGAAUUUAAAUUUACCUGUUGAACUGGCGGAUUUGGGUUAAACACAUUCACAGCAAUGAAGACACUUGAACACAUUAAAUGGUGUUAAAUAUGAUCAUCUCUUUCCUCCUCCUGUCAUCUAUUCAAUAUUAACAACGAAACUUGCUUUUAAUCAAUGGCUCUGGUUGAUGAAUUUAGGUUCAAUUUGCUUCAAUUGUCUGUAAACAUGGAUCUUGAUUGAACAAGAAUCUGUAACCAAUAAUAUUACCACUAAUCCAGUGGUCAGUUGAUCAGAAUUGAUAAAAUUUUAAACGUUGAUUCUAUUUAUAAGAAGCUCUUCCCAACGGCCAUUUACUGAUUACCUUUUUCUUCCUUAAUUUCAUCAAGAAUUAUCAUCAUCACUUUCCCGAAGUAAAGCAUUAAAAUAUUUUUAUAUAAAUAAAUAUAAUAGUUGAGGUUAAUCCAGGAGUCCGUUGAUCCUUUAACGGUUUAGCUUCAAGGAAAAAUGUUGAACAUUAAAAGAUGUGAUAAAGAAUCAAAUGAACCAAAUGAUAUGAACAUGAAAAAAAGGUAACAAAAGGUAAACAAAUUGGACACCUUUUUAUGAUUUUAAUAUCACAAUAUAAAAGUCACCAAUAGUCAAACAAUUUAUGUAAAAAUUUAGUCUAAUGUUUCAUUUUAAUCAUUGAUUGUUUCACUUUCAUUCACUUUCAGUUGAAAUGAUUUGUGAAGUACAAUGUGAUGUUGAUUGAAAUCAUUCAUCAAA
This is a long non-coding RNA of Tetranychus urticae (two-spotted spider mite), 2233 nucleotides long. RefSeq lists it as uncharacterized. NCBI's taxonomy places the organism in Eukaryota, Metazoa, Arthropoda, Arachnida, Trombidiformes, Tetranychidae. The record is from RefSeq and is a predicted model, not a curated record.